Molecule: ribosomal RNA, 529 nt
Filed under: Pelobates cultripes (western spadefoot toad)
Lineage: Eukaryota; Metazoa; Chordata; Amphibia; Anura; Pelobatidae
Rfam family: Eukaryotic small subunit ribosomal RNA
Source: RNAcentral
UUAUUUUACUCCUCUUCACCAGCGUAUUCCAUAUCAUAUGAGAAUGCCCCGAACACAAAUAUAUAUAUCUAUAUAUUUUAAUUGGGGGAGCCCCCAAAAUAUUGGGCUAAUAAAAAAAGACAACUCUGUUCCGCAGAGUAGCUGUUGACAUUAUAGUUGCGCAGGAAGUUUGUUGACUCUAGAGAACCUCGGGCAAAUCACACAUCUCCGUGGUGGCGACUUUGCAUGCGGAUGUCAUCCAUAUCAACUUUCGAUGCCAGUUUCUGCGCCUACCAUGGUGACCAUGGAUAACGGGUAAUUGGGGUUCUAUUCCAUACAGGGACCCUGAGAAAUAGCUACCACAUGCAAGGAAGGCAGCAGGCGUGCAAAUGACCCACUCCCGACGCGGGAAGGUAGUGACAACAAAUAACAAUACAGGACUCUUUAGAGGCCCUGUUAUUGUAAUGAGUCUACUUGAAAUCCUUUAACUCUGAUCAAUUAGAGGGAAGUCUGGUGCAGAGCCACUGACCCGUGCGUGCUGCAGCUGAAA